AGUCGAACGCUUCUUUUUCCACCGGAGCUUGCUCCACCGGAAAAAGAGGAGUGGCGAACGGGUGAGUAACACGUGGGUAACCUGCCCAUCAGAAGGGGAUAACACUUGGAAACAGGUGCUAAUACCGUAUAACAAUCAAAACCGCAUGGUUUUGAUUUGAAAGGCGCUUUCGGGUGUCGCUGAUGGAUGGACCCGCGGUGCAUUAGCUAGUUGGUGAGGUAACGGCUCACCAAGGCCACGAUGCAUAGCCGACCUGAGAGGGUGAUCGGCCACAUUGGGACUGAGACACGGCCCAAACUCCUACGGGAGGCAGCAGUAGGGAAUCUUCGGCAAUGGACGAAAGUCUGACCGAGCAACGCCGCGUGAGUGAAGAAGGUUUUCGGAUCGUAAAACUCUGUUGUUAGAGAAGAACAAGGAUGAGAGUAACUGUUCAUCCCUUGACGGUAUCUAACCAGAAAGCCACGGCUAACUACGUGCCAGCAGCCGCGGUAAUACGUAGGUGGCAAGCGUUGUCCGGAUUUAUUGGGCGUAAAGCGAGCGCAGGCGGUUUCUUAAGUCUGAUGUGAAAGCCCCCGGCUCAAUCGGGGAGGGUCAUUGGAAACUGGGAGACUUGAGUGCAGAAGAGGAGAGUGGAAUUCCAUGUGUAGCGGUGAAAUGCGUAGAUAUAUGGAGGAACACCAGUGGCGAA
Molecule: ribosomal RNA, 688 nt
Filed under: uncultured bacterium
Lineage: Bacteria
Description: bacterial SSU rRNA
Rfam family: Bacterial small subunit ribosomal RNA
Source: RNAcentral